AUACGGAGGAUCCGAGCGUUAUCCGGAUUUAUUGGGUUUAAAGGGUGCGCAGGCGGGAGAUUAAGUCGGUGGUGAAAUUUUGCAGCUCAACUGUAACAGGGCCGUUGAUACUGGUUUCCUUGAGGGUGGAUGAAGUAGGCGGAAUUUGUGGGGUAGCGGUGAAAUGCAUAGAUAUCACGAGGAACUCCGAUAGCGUAGGCAGCUUACUAAACCAUAACUGACGCUCAUGCACGAAGGCGUGGGGAUCAAACAGGAUUAGAUUCCCUGGUAGUCCACGCGGUAAACGAUGAUUACUGGCUGGUUGCGAUACACUGUAAGCGGCCCAGCGAAAGCGUUAAGUAAUCCACCUGGGGAGUACGUUCGCAAGAAUGAAACUCAAAGGAAUUGACGGGG
RNAcentral lists this ribosomal RNA (393 nucleotides) under uncultured bacterium. RNAcentral describes it as "partial 16S ribosomal RNA". It matches the Rfam family "Bacterial small subunit ribosomal RNA", at positions 523 to 918 of the family's 1533-position model. The record is from RNAcentral.